CAGUCGCCACGGGAAUACGUAGGUGGCAAGCGUUGUCCGGAAUUAUUGGGCGUAAAGCGCGCGCAGGCGGUUUCUUAAGUCUGAUGUGAAAGCCCCCGGCUUAACCGGGGAGGGUCAUUGGAAACUGGGAGACUUAGAGUGCAGAAGAGGAGAGUGGAAUUCCAUGUGUAGCGGUGAAAUGCGUAGAUAUAUGGAGGAACGCCAGUGGCGAAGGCGACUCUCUGGUCUGUAACCGACGCUGAGGCGCGAAAGCGUGGGGAGCAAACAGGAUUAGAUACCCCUGUAGUCCCUGUCUCUUAUA
This 301-nucleotide ribosomal RNA is filed under the name uncultured bacterium. RNAcentral describes it as "partial 16S ribosomal RNA". It matches the Rfam family "Bacterial small subunit ribosomal RNA", at positions 509 to 808 of the family's 1533-position model. The record is from RNAcentral.